Molecule: transfer-messenger RNA, 355 nt
Filed under: Alteriqipengyuania abyssalis
Lineage: Bacteria; Pseudomonadati; Pseudomonadota; Alphaproteobacteria; Sphingomonadales; Erythrobacteraceae
Description: Alteriqipengyuania sp. NZ-12B transfer-messenger RNA
Rfam family: Alphaproteobacteria transfer-messenger RNA
About the family: Bacterial tmRNA, also known as 10Sa RNA or SsrA, is named for its dual tRNA and mRNA-like properties.
Source: RNAcentral
ACACUUCACAUUAAGCGCGCAGCGCCUAUAUAGGUCGGUGCCGGUUUCGGCCGGCUAUGGUGAUAAACUGCGGUGUAUAAUAGACGCAAUGGACCCGGGGGCAGUACCCGGCGGCUCCACCAAAAGGCCCGGUCCCACUAGCGAGAGGGGGCGGGCUUCCUGAUGGGGCCGAACCAGGAUCGACAUGCGUUGAAAGGCAUCGUUUUUGCCCGGAAUGAGCACUCCGUAAAAAGCUCUUUUCACAAGUGCCAACGAUAACGAAGCACUCGCUCUCGCUGCGUAAUUUGACGGGCUAACGCCCUGAAUUUACAAAGCUAAAGCGCGGUUGGACCGACCGGGCAACAGAACGGAUACC